Molecule: long non-coding RNA, 571 nt
Filed under: Mytilus galloprovincialis (Mediterranean mussel)
Lineage: Eukaryota; Metazoa; Mollusca; Bivalvia; Mytilida; Mytilidae
Source: RNAcentral
ACAGUAAAUAAAGGCAACAGUAGUAUACCGAUGUUCAAACUCAUAAAUCCAUGGACAAAAACAAAAUCGGGGUAACAAACUAAAACUGAGGGAAACGCAUUAAAUAUAAGAGGAGAACAACGACACAACACUACAAUGUAACACACACAGAAACGGACCAAGCAACAGACAAAAUCCCACGAGAAUAACAAAUAUAACAUCAAAACCAAAUACAUGAAUUUGGGAUAGACAAGUACCGUGACACGUCUUAUCGCAAUGUGAAUUUACACUAAAAAAUAAGAGAAAACAAACGACGCAACGUUAAAAUGUAACACAUACAGAAACGAACUAUAAUAUAACAAUGGCCAUAUUCCUGACUUGGUACAGGACAUUUUUAAAGAAAAAAAUGGCGGGUUGAACCUGGUUUUGUGGCAUGCCAAACCUUCCCUUUUAUAGCCAUGUGAAAUAUAACAUUAAGAUGACAACUCAACCCCACAGGACUACAAUAUAAAUAAAUUGGAGAAUACAAUUGACAAAGAAACACACGAACAACAGCCAACAAAAGGCAACAAGUUGAAAAUUUUAAUACGCC